GGCGUAAAGAGUACGUAUGCGGUUUUUUAAGUCAGAGGUGAAAUCCCGGAGCUCAACUCCGGAACUGCCUUUGAAACUGGAAAGCUAGAAUCAUGGAGAGGUUAGUGGAAUUCCGAGUGUAGAGGUGAAAUUCGUAGAUAUUCGGAAGAACACCAGUGGCGAAGGCGACUGACUGGACUGGUAUUGACGCUGAGGUGCGAAAGCGCGGGGAGCAAACAGGAUUAGAUACCCUGGUAGUCCACGCCGUAAACGAUGAUAACUAGCUGUCAGGGUUCACAGAACUUUGGUGGCGCAGCUAACGCAUUAAGUUAUCCGCCUGGGGAGUACGGUCGCAAGAUUAAAACUCAAAGGAAUUGACGGGGGCCUGCACAAGCGGUGGAGCAUGUGGUUUAAUUCGAAGCAACGCGCAGAACCUUACCAGCGUUUGACAUGCCUAGUAUGGUUUCCAGAGAUGGAUUCCUUCAGUUCGGCUGGCUAGUGCACAGGUGCUGCAUGGCUGUCGUCAGCUCGUGUCGUGAGAUGUUGGGUUAAGUCCCGCAACGAGCGCAACCCUCGUCUUUAGUUACCAUCAUUUAGUUGGGUACUCUAAAGAAACCGCCGGUGAUAAGCCGGAGGAAGGUGGGGAUGACGUCAAGUCCUCAUGGCCCUUACGCGCUGGGCUACACACGUGCUACAAUGGCGACUACAGUGGGCUGCAAUCCCGCGAGGGUGAGCUAAUCUCCAAAAGUCGUCUCAGUUCGGAUUGUUCUCUGCAACUCGAGAGCAUGAAGGCGGAAUCGCUAGUAAUC
This 788-nucleotide ribosomal RNA is filed under the name uncultured bacterium. RNAcentral describes it as "bacterial SSU rRNA". It matches the Rfam family "Bacterial small subunit ribosomal RNA", at positions 557 to 1343 of the family's 1533-position model. The record is from RNAcentral.